Long non-coding RNA from Cynara cardunculus var. scolymus (artichoke), 313 nucleotides. RefSeq lists it as uncharacterized. The record is from RefSeq and is a predicted model, not a curated record. The transcript has 3 exons. NCBI's taxonomy places the organism in Eukaryota, Viridiplantae, Streptophyta, Magnoliopsida, Asterales, Asteraceae.
CAUCGAUACUUGUGCUUACACCGUUGCUCGACAAAUCCUUCUCAGUCUGAAUUAUUCAAUGCCCUUGGCAAGACAAGAUGUACUUAUGAAAGAAGGAUUUGCAAUAUACUAGAUGUGCAAAAAGAAUACUACGGUCGGCUAUCGGAGAGCAUCAAAGCAACUUAAACAUUGGGGUAUGGAAGUAUGUUAUUUGUUUAUUACGGCUACCAAUCGACAUCGAUAAAUUUGGUUUUUUUUGUCACUUGUUUUGUUUCAAAUGACAACCCUUGGCCAUAACAACGGGAGGUUUCCAUUUUUGUUAUGUGAAAUAGCG